GCGGGAGUGGUGGAAUUGGCAGACACGCCAGGUUUAGGUCCUGGUGCUCGAAAGAGUGUAGGGGUUCGAGUCCCCUCUUCCGCA
RNAcentral lists this transfer RNA (84 nucleotides) under Actinomycetota bacterium. Its description in RNAcentral is "tRNA-Leu". It matches the Rfam family "tRNA". Rfam says of the family: Transfer RNA (tRNA) molecules are approximately 80 nucleotides in length. Their secondary structure includes four short double-helical elements and three loops (D, anti-codon, and T loops). Further hydrogen bonds mediate the characteristic L-shaped molecular structure. tRNAs have two regions of fundamental functional importance: the anti-codon, which is responsible for specific mRNA codon recognition, and the 3' end, to which the tRNAs corresponding amino acid is attached (by aminoacyl-tRNA synthetases). tRNAs cope with the degeneracy of the genetic code in two manners: having more than one tRNA (with a specific anti-codon) for a particular amino acid; and 'wobble' base-pairing, i.e. permitting non-standard base-pairing at the 3rd anti-codon position. The record is from RNAcentral. Lineage: Bacteria; Bacillati; Actinomycetota.